This 686-nucleotide unclassified non-coding RNA is filed under the name uncultured Prochlorococcus sp. RNAcentral's name for it is "partial may contain 16S ribosomal RNA, 16S-23S ribosomal RNA intergenic spacer, and 23S ribosomal RNA". The stretch from base 1 to 98 matches the Rfam family "Bacterial small subunit ribosomal RNA", at positions 1437 to 1533 of the family's 1533-position model. Lineage: Bacteria; Bacillati; Cyanobacteriota; Cyanophyceae; Synechococcales; Prochlorococcaceae. The record is from RNAcentral.
AACCCUUGUGGAGGAGGACGCCGAAGGUGGGGCUAAUGACUGGGGUGAAGUCGUAACAAGGUAGCCGUACCGGAAGGUGCGGCUGGAUCACCUCCUAACAGGGAGACAACAAAAUGUUUAAUAUUAUUAUUUUGUCACCUUAGGUCGAUCGGUAUCUCACGUUUUUAAUUUAUUAAGAAUUUCAUUUCCUAAGUUUUUCUAGGUCACACCCAUUAUUUUUCCUGGGCCAUUAGCUCAGGUGGUUAGAGCGCACCCCUGAUAAGGGUGAGGUCCCUGGUUCAAGUCCAGGAUGGCCCAUAUCUCUAUGUUGGGGGUAUAGCUCAGUUGGUAGAGCGCCUGCUUUGCAAGCAGGAUGUCAGCGGUUCGAGUCCGCUUACCUCCACUGAUCACCACCUCUUCCAUAAUCGGUAGAAAGGAAAUUUUUUGAGUUGUGAUCAAAUUCUGAAAGAAUCUAGCUUCCUAAUGAAAAUAUUAAGAUGCUGGACUCAUUGAAUUAAUUUCAUUGUUUUCAGAGAACCUUGACAACUGCAUAGAUUAUUUUUAAAGACAAUAAGCAUCUUUAAUGAUGCAGAUUUAUUAUUUGUGCAAAUGCAUUAAUAACAAUUCUAUUAAGCUGAUGCUUCAAUUUUUGAAGUUAUUGGUCAAGCUACAAAGGGCUCACGGAGGAUACCUAGGCACACAGAGGC